RNAcentral lists this long non-coding RNA (484 nucleotides) under Citrus sinensis (sweet orange). RNAcentral describes it as "long non-coding RNA (CSIN_LNC002857)". The record is from RNAcentral. Lineage: Eukaryota; Viridiplantae; Streptophyta; Magnoliopsida; Sapindales; Rutaceae.
AAAGAACAGUUGAGUUCCAAAAAUAAAUAGGUCGCAAACAAACCAAAGACAGUUCUAAAUGCCAGCUGCUUUCACUUAUCAACUUUAGAGCCAUCACCAUCUGUUUGGAGGUCCAAUCAAAAGGUUCUACUGGAUCUGCCACAACGGUAGAAAGCAUCUUGGGUAGUAAUAGCUUCCAGAUUUCUUCUUCCUAAAGGCACCACAGUUUUGGACAGGAGAUGCCGCAUAAACGACAGUACUAUGAUAUGCUGGAUUUCUUUUUAUUCUUGGGUCACAUUGCAGUGAGUAAGUGAACACCGUCCAGAAAUUCACUCUUCUACAACAUUCACAAGCUCAUAUUCAAUCAGAGAGAGGUUGUUAUCUUCCUUCACGGUGAAAUUGGCAGGCUCUGCAACUUCAACACGGCCCCACUUGUCCACAGCAAGUCUCAUUGAUCCUUUAAACAUGUCAAUUUUUGCAUUGCGCAGAAUCACAGUAGUACCCU